GGGGGCGCGUGGUCUGAUGGCCUUCGAACUGCGACGGCAGUGGAGGAAGCCGGUGCGACUCCGGCGCGGUCCCGCCACUGUCAGCCCCCCGGGGUGAGCCAGGAACUCCAGCCGUCGCCUCCUGCUAUCU
RNAcentral lists this non-coding RNA (130 nucleotides) under Geodermatophilus sp. RNAcentral also lists the same sequence under 1 other name. The record is from RNAcentral. Lineage: Bacteria; Bacillati; Actinomycetota; Actinomycetes; Geodermatophilales; Geodermatophilaceae.